Magnolia sinica is the source of this 571-nucleotide long non-coding RNA. RefSeq lists it as uncharacterized. Lineage: Eukaryota; Viridiplantae; Streptophyta; Magnoliopsida; Magnoliales; Magnoliaceae. The record is from RefSeq and is a predicted model, not a curated record. The transcript is spliced from 3 exons.
AAAAUCCCUAAUUAGUGGAAUUUUCUUUAGAACUAUGAAAUGCUUUGUUUCUCUUGAGAGUAGCUAGAUUGGGAAAAUGCUGAAACCAUUAGCUUCUAUACGAUCUGCAAAAGUUGGGAUUAAAGAUCAAGCAUCAUGAGGACAACCUGAAAUUUCAGAAGACUCAAACAAACAACUUAGGAUGAAUCCAUUUUUGAUAUGCAAGAGCUUCCGAUAUACUGGGAAUUGAUGCACUUGUGGGCAAUCAAAGUUCCAUCUAUAGUCUGUCUGCUAUAUACAAAAGCUCCCUGCACCUUCGAGAUACAUUUCCUAGCACCUUUUGUAAGUGGAUGGUAGUAUUUUAGCAUGGAUUUUGUAGGGACUUUCAAUCAACCUGAUUGGCUUGAAAUCCCUCAAGGACCCACUCCUUUUUUCUUUGGAAUGAGAGUAAUAAGUGAUGUUCCCAACUCCAAUGAAAAUACAACUACUUUCAGAAGCUUACAUUUCAACCUUUGUAGUAUGUAGUAUGUAGUACGGAUGCAAGACAGAGGAUCAAACUUUCACUAUUUUAUGGUGUGCAGCUGACAGAGAG